UACGGGGGGGGCAAGCGUUGUUCGGAAUUACUGGGCGUAAAGGGCUCGUAGGCGGCCAACUAAGUCAGACGUGAAAUCCCUCGGCUUAACCGGGGAACUGCAUCUGAUACUGGAUGGCUUGAGUUCGGGAGAGGGAUGCGGAAUUCCAGGUGUAGCGGUGAAAUGCGUAGAUAUCCGGAGGAACACCGGUGGCGAAGGCGGCUUCCUGGACCGACACUGACGCUGAGGCGCGAAAGCUAGGGAAGCAAACGGG
This 253-nucleotide ribosomal RNA is filed under the name uncultured bacterium. RNAcentral describes it as "partial 16S ribosomal RNA". It matches the Rfam family "Bacterial small subunit ribosomal RNA", at positions 524 to 776 of the family's 1533-position model. The record is from RNAcentral.